This 240-nucleotide unclassified non-coding RNA is filed under the name soil metagenome. RNAcentral's name for it is "partial contains 5.8S ribosomal RNA, internal transcribed spacer 2, and large subunit ribosomal RNA". The record is from RNAcentral.
AAGACUAUAGACCUGCGGAGUACCUGCGGAGGGAUCAUUACCGAGGUUAAACUCUCCUUGCGAGAGCCUCUCACACUUGCUUUGGCAAUUAGUUGCUUCGACGGAGCGCAAGUCAAUUGCCGCUGGCCUUUUGGGUUGGCGAGUCUCCGUCGAAGUUUUUUACUCUCCAACUUUUAUGAGUCUGUUUCAAUUUCAAAUUGAAAAAAAACUUUUAGCAAUGGAUCUCUAGAUCGGAAGAGC